ACUCCUACGGGAGGCAGCAGUGGGGAAUAUUGCACAAUGGGGGAAACCCUGAUGCAGCCAUGCCGCGUGUGUGAAGAAGGCCUUCGGGUUGUAAAGCACUUUCAGUAGGGAGGAAGGUAGUGCAGUUAACACCUGCAUUAUUUGACGUUACCUACAGAAGAAGCACCGGCUAACUCCGUGCCAGCAGCCGCGGUAAUACGGAGGGUGCGAGCGUUAAUCGGAAUUACUGGGCGUAAAGCGCAUGCAGGCGGCCUGUUAAGUCAGAUGUGAAAGCCCGGGGCUUAACCUCGGAAUUGCAUUUGAAACUGGCAGGCUAGAGUCUUGUAGAGGGGGGUAGAAUUUCAGGUGUAGCGGUGAAAUGCGUAGAGAUCUGAAGGAAUACCAGUGGCGAAGGCGGCCCCCUGGACAAAGACUGACGCUCAGAUGCGAAAAGCGUGGGGAGCAAACAGGAUUAGAUACCCUGGUAGGAUAGCG
Molecule: ribosomal RNA, 474 nt
Filed under: uncultured bacterium
Lineage: Bacteria
Description: bacterial SSU rRNA
Rfam family: Bacterial small subunit ribosomal RNA
Source: RNAcentral